This is a long non-coding RNA of Amphiprion ocellaris (clown anemonefish), 2449 nucleotides long. The record is from Ensembl. Lineage: Eukaryota; Metazoa; Chordata; Actinopteri; Pomacentridae.
GUUUACAGGAAGGCAAACACACAGUGGCUGACAAGGGGAGAAUCGAAUGCAGUAACUUGCUCACACAGGCUGAUAAGAGAGAUUCUGUGAUGCAUGCGGUGGGGAAUGGGAGCUGUAUUUAUGAAAAUACACGACUCCUACGCUUCAGCUGACCUUGAGAAUAACUAGUUUUUUUUGUACUUUCUGUGUGGUUCAAAGUAAGUGAACCGAGAACUCAUUUUCAGAUUCAGAAAGUACUGCAUAAUAACGUGUCUACUGUAUAUUUCAUGUACGCUUUUGCUUUGAUUGUCAUAUCUAAAGAAAUAAUAAGUCACUGAACCAACAAGGUAAUAAAUUAAUAAACCCAUGUAACAAAAUGAAGCUACAUAAUUAUACGAUGAUAUAACAUAAUGAAACUAUGCCUAUCCGUGCAUUUUCUAAUCAUGAAACGCAUGGGGAGACGUGUUUUUUCCAGGGUUUUAUGAUCUACUGCACUGGGGGAGAAAUGCAUACAAGAUAAGAGAUGCACGUGAGGCUUUGAAUGGUCGUAAAGCAUUCCUGUUGCACAACUAGUUGUUGUAUAUAACAGGGCCCAGACCCCUGUCCUUUGCACAGUUACUCUUUUACUUGAUGCUGGAUUGCAUAAAGACGAGCAAAACAAGUAGACCACGAUGGCAAAACACAAUCCGGGGCGUCUUGCUGCAAUACUCGUGUCUGUUGCUGGUUUUGCAGUAAGUUUGGUGCUCAAUGGACUGUCUGUAGUUGGAAUUGGUCCUUAUUAUACCACUACAGCAAACGUGUCUGCUGUGUUUGACACCCAGCUCACACCUUCAGGAUGGACCUUUAACAUCUGGAGUGUCAUCUACGUCUGGCUCACGUUGAUGAUCAUCUACAUCGUGACGAGUCUUUGCAGAAAGAAUGGAUAUGGAUAUGUUUACUGCAGCCCUGCAGUGCUGCCUUAUGGAUUCUUCGCUAGCUGGUGUGUCAAUCUGUGUUUCAACAUUGGCUGGCUGCUUGUUUGGGACAGAGGACAGAUGAUUCCUGCACUGAUUUUUCUCAUCCUGGUCAUCGCCACAAACUACUCCAUGGUGUUCUACAUCUGCCAUGGACUUCAUCUUUAUGGACCCUGGCUCAAAAAAUACCACAAAGCAGACCUGUGGUGCCUCCGUAUUUUGGUUCAGAACGGUGUGAUGAUCUACACGACAUGGACAACCAUCGCAACACUCAUCAACGUGACCAUUGUGCUUACUUACAAUGCAAAGAUGUCCCCAACAGACGCUGCCACUAUCUCAUACUCUGUUUUAUGUGCUGUGUUGCUUGUGUGGUUUGUUUUGGAAAACUUGGUUCUUGACAAGCAUGUGCGGUACAUCCUCAUAGUCUACCCUGUUCUGAUCUGGGCGCUGUCUGGAAACCUGGAUAAAAACUUUGAUGCUCAGUCACCCAGUCGCAAUGGCAUCUUCAUCGCCGUGCUGCUGAGUUUAAGCUGUGUGCUCUUUGUCAUCCGGCUCAUUCUGGUGAUGUGGAGACACGUCAAACAGCCGCUCUAUGAAGAUGUCGAUCCUGAAGCCAUGGAACCAAAGGAGAUUGCUAAGAAGCAGAAAAAGAUAUUUCGCUAAGCAUUUUUAAUGCAUCGCACAACUCAUGUAUAAAGGUUCAUUAUAGAAAUUGAUGCUAAAUUUGAUGAAUUUUUUUCCCCCCAGUGUUUUGUAGAUAGUCAUGAAAGAAAGUGUUUUAUUUUGUAAAUGGUGAUACGUUAAAAUGGGUAACUGGCAUAAUUUUCUCAGAUUUUAUCAACAACAAUUUCCUCAAUUUUGACCGACUGAUCUAUGAACCUUCUAUGACUUUUUUCUAAGAAACAGAUUACUAAAACAUGCAUUAGGCUCAGAUAAGAAGCCUAUUACAUAUAACAGUACAAAGUGGCAGAAAUAUUACAGUAAUUUACCUCACAUGACUGACUGAAUGAUUUAAUCAUUUGCAAGAGUUGUUUUUGCUUUAUUUUCUAACUUACAUUCCAAAAUAAACUGUAUUUGUGUCAUCUUGGUAUAUAUAUUUUUUGAAAUAAAGUGCACAUCUUACUUAUCAACUGCUGUGAAGAUUUCGCAAUGUGGACUUUGUUUUUUACUCUAAUGUGCCAGACUAGCAAGAAUGUAACAACAACAAAUAUCGGUUUCUGUUCAAGUACAAGUUUUAUCAGCAAUAUCAGAUAUAUUUUCUGGAUUAAGACCUUUUGCCAAUUUGUAAGUUAAGUUGUUACUGCUAUCAAGUGAUUGAAGUAAUUGAAACAAACUAUGCAACAAGUAAAAAAUUUACCAAAAUGAGCAUAAUUUAAAAAUGUUAUGUUAGUGUAUAUUUUCAAGCAUUUAUAAGAACCCCAGUUCUGUCAACAUUUUGUAUGCCACAAGUGAUUUUUUCGCUUUUGUGUGUGGAGUUGAUAUCAAUAAACUGCAGGGGGCGACAAAGCAAGCGUCAA